Non-coding RNA from Drosophila virilis, 482 nucleotides. The record is from Rfam. NCBI's taxonomy places the organism in Eukaryota, Metazoa, Arthropoda, Insecta, Diptera, Drosophilidae.
GACCGUCGUGAGACAGGUUAGUUUUACCCUACUAAUGACAAAACGUUGUUGCGACAGCAUUCCUGCGUAGUACGAGAGGAACCGCAGGUACGGACCAAUGGCACAAUACUUGUUCGAGCGAACAGUGGUAUGACGCUACGUCCGUUGGAUUAUGCCUGAACGCCUCUAAGGUCGUAUCCGUGCUGGACUGCAAUGAUAAAUAAGGGGCAAUUUGCAUUGUAUGGCUUCUAAACCAUUAAAAGUUUUUAAUUUGUUUUAUUAACGACAAUGGAUGUGAUGCCAAUGUUAUUUAUAACAUAGUAAAUUGGGAGGAUCUUCGAUCACCUGAUGCCGCGCUAGUUAUAUUUUAAAACAUUAUUUAAUACAAUGUCAAAGCCUAGAAUCAAUUGUAAACGACUUUUGUAACAGGCAAGGUGUUGUAAGUGGUUGAGCAGCUGCCAUACUGCGAUCCACUGAAGCUUAUCCUUUGCUUGAUGAUUCGA